GGGCCCAUAGCUCAGUCUGGUUAGAGCACCUGACUCAUAAUCAGGGUGUCCAAGGUUCAAAUCCUUGUGGGCCCACCA
RNAcentral lists this transfer RNA (78 nucleotides) under Candidatus Omnitrophota bacterium. RNAcentral describes it as "Candidatus Omnitrophica bacterium (aquatic metagenome) tRNA-Ile". It matches the Rfam family "tRNA". From Rfam's summary of the family: Transfer RNA (tRNA) molecules are approximately 80 nucleotides in length. Lineage: Bacteria; Pseudomonadati; Candidatus Omnitrophota. The record is from RNAcentral.